Gasterosteus aculeatus aculeatus (three-spined stickleback) is the source of this 1766-nucleotide long non-coding RNA. The record is from Ensembl. NCBI's taxonomy places the organism in Eukaryota, Metazoa, Chordata, Actinopteri, Perciformes, Gasterosteidae.
CACUGUUUUCAACUAUAAUAUUUAUUUAUCUUUCUGUCCACCACUUUGUUUACAAAGAUCAACUCAUUACCGUGGAGACUCAAAUGGUACAAUGUAAAUCACUUAUUGUUUCUAGCUUUAAAAACAACAAUUUAAAUUAAAAAAAUACUUAAUAACAUUCCCUAUAUUGUAAUUGUCAAUGGUAACAUUCUCUCCCAAUUGGUCAGACAGAAGACACGGACAAAGAACCACAAAUUCUGAUUCAUUCACUUAAAACUAAGUAUCAACAAAGAUUAUUCAAGCUAAAGUCAAAAAUACAAGUUCAUAAAGAUCGGUAGUUUCAACUGUAAGUUUGAGUUACAGGUCGAGUCCGACGUGGUGGGCUCCAGUUUAGUUGGGUAGGGUUUAGAGUGGUCUAGUUGAGUCCACUUCUGUGUUACUCCAAUCUGCUGGAUUUCAUUCGGGUUAGUCAAGUCUUGUUAAGUUAAGUUAGGUUUAGUCCAGUCCAGUUGAGUCAAGUCUGGUCUUCUGCUGCUGUGGGACAUGAGACCGGAUCAGUAGAAGACAUUGUCACAGUCAGUUAAGAUUUUCUCCUUCGCUUCCUGCGGUCUCCAUAAAAACAUCGUUCUCUUCCUUUUCCCCCCUCGUUUCUUCAUCUCCGGGGUGGCCUUCAGGCAGCAGCGGCAGGAAGAGCAGGGGGGAUUGAGGGAACGAGGCUGCGAGGAUGAGGAGAGGAAGAGGAGGUGAUUCUGCUUCUGAACUCUCUCUCCCCAUCCAAACCCGAUCAUGGAGAAGUUCUGGCUCUGAGUAAAAAGGCCAUUAAGGUUGUGUGUACCCGGCAGUGUCAUCGGUGACAUCAUUGAUGUAGUCAUUGCUGUGGGCGUCGCCCUUUGGAGGUCAGCAGGAGUCUCAGAAGAAGCAAGUUUGCAAAGUCGCUCAACAGCCGAUUUCCGAGAAGAGGAAUCCCACCGACUCCUUUUCCUCAGCAAAAGGAGCUUGAAGCUCUCGCUCUUGCCUGACCUUUGACCUCUGGGAGCCGCGGUAGGCCUGGAGAGAGGAGGCCGAGGGGCGGUGAGGGAGGAGGAGGGAGUUAGAUGUCGGUUGUCUUCUGAAUCUCGCCUUCCGAACAUCUUCCUCUUGGAUCUGAGACACAAGGGGACGAGAACAUGAGGAGCUAAGGACAAUUCAAAGGAAAGUGAGCCGUGAGGGUACUUCAAAGGUCAAAGGUUAGGGAGGAAGGCAGCUAGGAGACAAGGACACUUUCUCUUUAGUUAGUCGGACUGGAAAAGGAAACAGGAAGCUUCCCUUUGGGAGACCUGGACGCUUGCUGUUUGGGGAAGAAGGUUUGGGGACAAGGAGAAAGGAAACUUCAAUCGUUUCUUAUUGUAAGAGUGAAAUUGUAUUGUCUUCUUGUAGGCACAUAGUUAUGUUAGAUGGAUACAAAUUCUGAACACUAGAUGGCGCUGAAGAAGAAGAAGGUGUGGUAACAAGGGAGAACACACGGUUAUAGAUCUAGUUAAAAUAGAAUCUUUACCUGCAUUACCUGGACAUUCACGCUGUGCCUUCCCACAAUGCACUGCUUCACAGACACAGGGAGAGGAGUCGAGCAGACAUGUGAGAGGAGGCUGAUUGGUCGGUGCCGGUAUGUAGUGUGUUGUGCGUGUAGUGUGUGUCCUACCUGUGGAUGACCUUGAACAGAUCCUCGGUGGUUUGUAUUCGACUGGACUCAAACUUGUGAUCCUCUGGAGAAACAAAGUAUACCAUGUACACCACACACUGCUACUUAU